This 835-nucleotide ribosomal RNA is filed under the name Phaeosphaeria juncicola. RNAcentral's name for it is "eukaryotic LSU rRNA". It matches the Rfam family "Eukaryotic large subunit ribosomal RNA", at positions 71 to 925 of the family's 3401-position model. Lineage: Eukaryota; Fungi; Ascomycota; Dothideomycetes; Pleosporales; Phaeosphaeriaceae. The record is from RNAcentral.
GGGAUUGCCCUAGUAACGGCGAGUGAAGCGGCAACAGCUCAAAUUUGAAAUCUGGCUCUUUUAGAGUCCGAGUUGUAAUUUGCAGAGGGCGCUUUGGCAUUGGCAGCGGUCCAAGUUCUUUGGAACAGGACGUCACAGAGGGUGAGAAUCCCGUACGUGGUCGCUAGCCUUUACCGUGUAAAGCCCCUUCGACGAGUCGAGUUGUUUGGGAAUGCAGCUCUAAAUGGGAGGUAAAUUUCUUCUAAAGCUAAAUACUGGCCAGAGACCGAUAGCGCACAAGUAGAGUGAUCGAAAGAUGAAAAGCACUUUGGAAAGAGAGUCAAAUAGCACGUGAAAUUGUUGAAAGGGAAGCGCUUGCAGCCAGACUUGCCUGUAGUUGCUUAUCCGGACUUUUGUCCGGUGCACUCUUCUGCGGGCAGGCCAGCAUCAGUUUGGGCGGUUGGAUAAAGGUCUCUGUCAUGUACCUCUCUUCGGGGAGGCCUUAUAGGGGAGACGACAUGCAACCAGCCUGGACUGAGGUCCGCGCAUCUGCUAGGAUGCUGGCGUAAUGGCUGUAAGCGGCCCGUCUUGAAACACGGACCAAGGAGUCUAACAUCUAUGCGAGUGUUUGGGUGUCAAGCCCAGACGCGUAAUGAAAGUGAACGGAGGUGGGAACCCUUUGGGUGCACCAUCGACCGAUCCUGAUGUCUUCGGAAGGAUUUGAGUAAGAGCAUGGCUGUUGGGACCCGAAAGAUGGUGAACUAUGCUUGAAUAGGGUGAAGCCAGAGGAAACUCUGGUGGAGGCUCGCAGCGGUUCUGACGUGCAAAUCGAUCGUCAAAUUUGGGCAUAGGGGCG